RNAcentral lists this microRNA precursor (91 nucleotides) under Mustela putorius furo (domestic ferret). RNAcentral's name for it is "miRNA (ENSMPUG00000023490.1)". Lineage: Eukaryota; Metazoa; Chordata; Mammalia; Carnivora; Mustelidae. The record is from RNAcentral.
GGGCUUGGCUAACAAUGCAGAUUCUUGGGCUCUGUCUCAGGACUUUGGAAUCAGGAUCCCUGGGAGUGGUGCCCAGGAAUCUGCAUUUUCA